UGGUGAUACAAGUUGUGUGCAAGUUUGGUUAAAAUAAAAUCAUAAAUGAAACCACUAUCGUGCAGACAAGAAAUUGUUGACGCACGGACUGACGACGGACGAAGGGUGAUCACAAAAGCUCACCUUGUCACUAUGUGAGCUAAAAAGUAAAAUAGGGUUAUGGAACCUGCAUAGUGCUUAUCAGCUCAUGACAGUGGACAAGUGUAUGAAGUUUCAAUCCAUUCCCAUUAGUGGGUACUGAGAUACCAGCUUAAAUAUAAGAAUUUAACCCAAAAAUCCUAAGUUGAAAAGGGGCAUAAUUUUUUUAAAAUGCGAAGUUGAGUUAUUGACCCUUUGCACUGCAUGUCAUAUCAUGACAGUGAACUAGUGUGUGAAGUUUCAAUCCUUUCCCAUUAGUGGAUACUGAGAUACCAGCUUACAUACAAAAACUUAACCAAAAAUUUCCAUGUUGAAAAAGGGGCAUAAUUUUGUAAAAAAGCAAAAUAAAGUUAUGGGACCUGCUUUGUGCAUGUCAGAUCAUGACAGUGAACAAGUAAGUGAAGUUUCAAUCCAUUCCCAUUAGUGAGUACUGAGAUACCAGCUUACAUACAAAACCUUAACCA
Mercenaria mercenaria is the source of this 602-nucleotide long non-coding RNA. RefSeq lists it as uncharacterized. The transcript has 2 exons. NCBI's taxonomy places the organism in Eukaryota, Metazoa, Mollusca, Bivalvia, Venerida, Veneridae. The record is from RefSeq and is a predicted model, not a curated record.